AAACCAGCACCUCAAGUGGUCAGGAGGUUUAUUGGGCCUAAAGCAUCCGUAGCCUGAUCUAUAAGUUUCCGGUUAAAUCCACAUGCUCAACAUUUGGGCUGCCGGAAAAACUGUAGAUCUCGGGAGUGGGAGAGGUAGACGGUACUCGGUAGGAAGGGGUAAAAUCCUUUGAUCUAUUGAUGACCACCAGUGGCGAAGGCGGUCUACCAGAACACGUUCGACGGUGAGGGAUGAAAGCUGGGGGAGCAAACCGGAUUAGAAACCCCAGUAGUCC
This 274-nucleotide ribosomal RNA is filed under the name uncultured bacterium. RNAcentral describes it as "partial 16S ribosomal RNA". It matches the Rfam family "Archaeal small subunit ribosomal RNA", at positions 473 to 747 of the family's 1478-position model. The record is from RNAcentral.